Molecule: ribosomal RNA, 207 nt
Filed under: uncultured bacterium
Lineage: Bacteria
Description: partial 16S ribosomal RNA
Rfam family: Bacterial small subunit ribosomal RNA
Source: RNAcentral
CGUGUAGGCGGUUUGCUAAGUUGGAUGUGAAAACUCUGGGCUUAACCCAGAGCCUGCAUCCAAAACUGGCUAACUUGAGUACUGGAGGGGAAAGCGGAAUUCCUGGUGUAGCGGUGAAAUGCGUAGAUAUCAGGAGGAACACCGGUGGCGAAGGCGGCUUUCUGGACAGUAACUGACGCUGAGGCGCGAAAGCUAGGGGAGCAAACA